Molecule: ribosomal RNA, 511 nt
Filed under: Curtobacterium sp.
Lineage: Bacteria; Bacillati; Actinomycetota; Actinomycetes; Micrococcales; Microbacteriaceae
Description: bacterial SSU rRNA
Rfam family: Bacterial small subunit ribosomal RNA
Source: RNAcentral
GAGUUUGAUCAUGGCUCAGGACGAACGCUGGCGGCGUGCUUAACACAUGCAAGUCGAACGAUGAUCAGGAGCUUGCUCCUGUGAUUAGUGGCGAACGGGUGAGUAACACGUGAGUAACCUGCCCCUGACUCUGGGAUAAGCGUUGGAAACGACGUCUAAUACUGGAUAUGAUCACUGGUCGCAUGGCCUGGUGGUGGAAAGAUUUUUUGGUUGGGGAUGGACUCGCGGCCUAUCAGCUUGUUGGUGAGGUAAUGGCUCACCAAGGCGACGACGGGUAGCCGGCCUGAGAGGGUGACCGGCCACACUGGGACUGAGACACGGCCCAGACUCCUACGGGAGGCAGCAGUGGGGAAUAUUGCACAAUGGGCGAAAGCCUGAUGCAGCAACGCCGCGUGAGGGAUGACGGCCUUCGGGUUGUAAACCUCUUUUAGUAGGGAAGAAGGGAGCUUCGGUUCUUGACGGUACCUGCAGAAAAAGCACCGGCUAACUACGUGCCAGCAGCCGCGGUAAU